CAUGCCCCUGCAGCCUCACUGCUCAAUCCUCUGCCAUUUAGGAGCUAAAUCCCUUUGUUUGUGAACCCUAGUCACACCUCCCUGCAUGUGACUUGCACAGCCUUCCCUAAACACUUCCUGUAAAGAGAGCCCUAUUUAGGCUUUCUUUAUUGCAAGUUCUGUUUAAUUAAGAUUUUCUUAUCCCCUGCUAUGUUAAUAGCUUGCUAGACCAUGCAAGAGCCUCCUGUAUGUGAUUAAAGUUCAAUUUAGAGAUUGAGAUACAAUUAUUUAAGGUAAAUUACAUCUGUUUGAAAGUGAAACCAGUUUUUUUUU
Molecule: non-coding RNA, 312 nt
Organism: Pelobates cultripes (western spadefoot toad)
Lineage: Eukaryota; Metazoa; Chordata; Amphibia; Anura; Pelobatidae
Source: the annotation of a GenBank genome assembly